RNAcentral lists this ribosomal RNA (468 nucleotides) under uncultured bacterium. RNAcentral describes it as "partial 16S ribosomal RNA". It matches the Rfam family "Bacterial small subunit ribosomal RNA", at positions 28 to 507 of the family's 1533-position model. The record is from RNAcentral.
GACGAACGCUGGCGGCGUGCUUAACACAUGCAAGUCGAACGGAAAGGCCCUGCUUUUGUGGGGUGCUCGAGUGGCGAACGGGUGAGUAACACGUGAGUAACCUGCCCUUGACUUUGGGAUAACUUCAGGAAACUGGGGCUAAUACCGGAUAGGAGCUCCUGCUGCAUGGUGGUGGUUGGAAAGUUUCGGCGGUUGGGGAUGGACUCGCGGCUUAUCAGCUUGUUGGUGGGGUAGUGGCUUACCAAGGCUUUGACGGGUAGCCGGCCUGAGAGGGUGACCGGCCACAUUGGGACUGAGAUACGGCCCAGAAUCCUACGGGAGGCAGCAGUGGGGAAUAUUGCACAAUGGGCGGAAGCCUGAUGCAGCAACGCCGCGUGCGGGAUGACGGCCUUCGGGUUGUAAACCGCUUUCGCCUGUGACGAAGCGUGAGUGACGGUAAUGGGUAAAGAAGCACCGGCUAACUACGUG